GCCCGGGUAACUCAGUCGGUAGAGUAUGUGGCUCUUAACCACAAAGUCCAGGGUUCGAGCCCCUGUCUGGGCG
Molecule: non-coding RNA, 73 nt
Organism: Culicoides brevitarsis
Lineage: Eukaryota; Metazoa; Arthropoda; Insecta; Diptera; Ceratopogonidae
Source: the annotation of a RefSeq genome assembly